This 482-nucleotide ribosomal RNA is filed under the name uncultured bacterium. RNAcentral's name for it is "partial 16S ribosomal RNA". It matches the Rfam family "Bacterial small subunit ribosomal RNA", at positions 30 to 507 of the family's 1533-position model. The record is from RNAcentral.
UGAACGCUGGCGGCAGGCCUACCACAUGCAAGUCGAGCGGAUGAAGGGAGCUUGCUCCUGGAUUCAGCGGCGGACGGGUGAGUAAUGCCUAGGAAUCUGCCUGGUAGUGGGGGAUAACGUCCGGAAACGGGCGCUAAUACCGCAUACGUCCUGAGGGAGAAAGUGGGGGAUCUUCGGACCUCACGCUAUCAGGUGAGCCUAGGUCGGAUUAGCUAGUUGGUGGGGUAAAGGCCUACCAAGGCGACGAUCCGUAACUGGUCUGAGAGGAUGAUCAGUCACACUGGAACUGAGACACGGUCCAGACUCCUACGGGAGGCAGCAGUGGGGAAUAUUGGACAAUGGGCGAAAGCCUGAUCCAGCCAUGCCGCGUGUGUGAAGAAGGUCUUCGGAUUGUAAAGCACUUUAAGUUGGGAGGAAGGGCAGUAAGUUAAUACCUUGCUGUUUUGACGUUACCAACAGAAUAAGCACCGGCUAACUUCGUG